RNAcentral lists this ribosomal RNA (480 nucleotides) under Hyperolius chlorosteus (Sierra Leone reed frog). Its description in RNAcentral is "partial 16S ribosomal RNA". It matches the Rfam family "Bacterial large subunit ribosomal RNA", at positions 1965 to 2610 of the family's 2925-position model. The record is from RNAcentral. Lineage: Eukaryota; Metazoa; Chordata; Amphibia; Anura; Hyperoliidae.
UAAAUUGUCUUUUAAAUUAAGACCAGUAUGAAUGGCACCACGAAGGUUUAACUGUCUCCCCCUUUUAAUCAAUGAAAUUAAUCUUCCCGUGAAGAAACGGGAAUAUAUCUAUAAGACGAAAAGACCCUAUGGAGCUUUAAACUUAUAACCACUUAUUUAAUGAUACAACAACUUAUGAUAUAAAAGUGUAAUUUAAUAGUUUUUGGUUGGGGCGACCCUGGAGAAAAACAAAUCCUCCAGACUGAAAAGAACAACCCUUAUGCAAGAAUUACAAUUCAAAUAAACAAAAAUUUGACAAAACUGACCCAGAACUAACUGAUCAAUGAACCAAGUUACCCUAGGGAUAACAGCGCAAUCUAUUUCAAGAGCCCCUAUCGACAAAUAGGUUUACGACCUCGAUGUUGGAUCAGGGUAUCCUAGCAGCGCAGCUGUUGCUAAUGGUUCGUUUGUUCAACGAUUAAUACCCUACGUGAUCUGAGU